GAUCCUGGCUCAGGAUGAACGCUGGCGGCGUGCCUAAUACAUGCAAGUCGAGCGAACAGACGAGGAGCUUGCUCCUCUGACGUUAGCGGCGGACGGGUGAGUAACACGUGGAUAACCUACCUAUAAGACUGGGAUAACUUCGGGAAACCGGAGCUAAUACCGGAUAAUAUAUUAAACCGCAUGGUUCAAUAGUGAAAGACGGUUUUGCUGUCACUUAUAGAUGGAUCCGCGCCGCAUUAG
This 240-nucleotide ribosomal RNA is filed under the name uncultured bacterium. Its description in RNAcentral is "partial 16S ribosomal RNA". It matches the Rfam family "Bacterial small subunit ribosomal RNA", at positions 15 to 244 of the family's 1533-position model. The record is from RNAcentral.